AUUGAACGCUGGCGGCAUGCUUUACACAUGCAAGUCGAACGGCAGCGCGGGCUUCGGCCUGGCGGCGAGUGGCGAACGGGUGAGUAAUGCAUCGGAACGUGCCCAGUAGUGGGGGAUAGCCCGGCGAAAGCCGGAUUAAUACCGCAUACGACCUGAGGGUGAAAGCGGGGGACCGAAAGGCCUCGCGCUAUUGGAGCGGCCGAUGUCGGAUUAGCUAGUUGGUGGGGUAAAGGCUUACCAAGGCGACGAUCCGUAGCUGGUCUGAGAGGACGACCAGCCACACUGGGACUGAGACACGGCCCAGACUCCUAGGGGAGGCAGCAGUGGGGAAUUUUGGACAAUGGGGGCAACCCUGAUCCAGCCAUGCCGCGGGCGGGAAGAAGGCCUUCGGGUUGUAAACCGCUUUUGUUCGGGAAGAAAUCCUCUGGGCUAAUACCCCGGGGGGAUGACGGUACCGGAAGAAUAAGCACCGGCUAACUACGU
This 483-nucleotide ribosomal RNA is filed under the name uncultured bacterium. RNAcentral's name for it is "partial 16S ribosomal RNA". It matches the Rfam family "Bacterial small subunit ribosomal RNA", at positions 28 to 506 of the family's 1533-position model. The record is from RNAcentral.